This 262-nucleotide ribosomal RNA is filed under the name uncultured bacterium. RNAcentral describes it as "partial 16S ribosomal RNA". It matches the Rfam family "Bacterial small subunit ribosomal RNA", at positions 57 to 305 of the family's 1533-position model. The record is from RNAcentral.
GCAAGUCAAGGAGAAAGAGAAAGCUUGCUUUCUCGAUUAAACUGGCGAACGGGUGCGUAACACGUGAGCAACCUUCUCUCGAGUGGGGGAUAACAUCUCUAACGAGAUGCUAAUACCGCAUAUGUUUAUUUAUUCGCAUGUAAAAAUAAACAAAGGUGGCUUCGGCUACCGCUUGAGAAUGGGCUCGCGGCCCAUUAGUUUGACGGUGAGGUAACGGCUCACCGUAUUGGCGAUGAUGGGUAGCUGGUCUGAGAGGAUGAUC